This 467-nucleotide ribosomal RNA is filed under the name uncultured bacterium. Its description in RNAcentral is "partial 16S ribosomal RNA". It matches the Rfam family "Bacterial small subunit ribosomal RNA", at positions 28 to 506 of the family's 1533-position model. The record is from RNAcentral.
GACGAACGCUGGCGGCGUGCUUAACACAUGCAAGUCGAACGGAAAGGCCCUGCUUUUGUUGGGUGCUCGAUUGGCGAACGGGUGAGUAACACGUGAGUAACCUGCCCUUGACUUUGGGAUAACUUCAGGAAACUGGGGCUAAUACCGCAUAUGAUCUCCUGCUGCAUGGUGGUGGUUGGAAAGUUUCGGCGGUUGGGGAUGUACUCGCGGCUUAUCAGCUUGUUGGUGUGGUAGUGGCUUACCAAGGCUUUGACGGGUAGCCGGCCUGACAGGGUGACCGGCCACAUUGGGACUGAGGUACGGCCAAGACUCAUACGGGAGGAAGGAGUGGGGAAUAUAGCACAAUGGGCGGAAGCAUGAUGGAGCAACGCCGCGUGCGGGAUGACGGCCUUCGGGUUGUAAACAGCUUUCGAGUGUGACGAAGCGUGAGUGAGGGUAAUGGGUAAAGAAGCACCGGCUAACUACGU